UUUUUAUGGAGAGUUUGAUCCUGGCUCAGGAUGAACGCUGGCGGCGUGCUUAACACAUGCAAGUCGAACGAUGAAGCCCUGCUUGCAGGGUGGAUUAGUGGCGAACGGGUGAGUAACACGUGAGUAACCUGCCCCCGACUUUGGGAUAAGCCCG
RNAcentral lists this ribosomal RNA (154 nucleotides) under Arthrobacter sp. NIO-1057. Its description in RNAcentral is "partial 16S ribosomal RNA". It matches the Rfam family "Bacterial small subunit ribosomal RNA", at positions 1 to 151 of the family's 1533-position model. Lineage: Bacteria; Bacillati; Actinomycetota; Actinomycetes; Micrococcales; Micrococcaceae. The record is from RNAcentral.